RNAcentral lists this ribosomal RNA (1863 nucleotides) under Bifidobacterium scardovii. Its description in RNAcentral is "partial 23S ribosomal RNA". It matches the Rfam family "Bacterial large subunit ribosomal RNA", at positions 13 to 1933 of the family's 2925-position model. Lineage: Bacteria; Bacillati; Actinomycetota; Actinomycetes; Bifidobacteriales; Bifidobacteriaceae. The record is from RNAcentral.
AAGGGCGCAUGGUGAAUGCCUUGGCAUCAGGAGCCGAUGAAGGACGUGAUAAGCUGCGAUAAGCUUCGGGUAGGCGCACAUAGCCAGAGAUCCGAAGAUUUCCGAAUGAGGAAACUCACAUGGGAAACCCCAUGUAUCCAUAGGUGAAUACAUAGCUUAUGGAAGGUAAACCCAGGGAACUGAAACAUCUAAGUACCUGGAGGAAGAGAAAGAAAAAUCGAUUUUCUUAGUAGCGGCGAGCGAAAGGGAAAGAGCCCAAACCGGAAAUUUAUUUCCGGGGUUGCGGACAGAACAUUAACGAGAAGUUAUGGAUAAUUGAAGAUGACUGGAAAGUCAAGCCAUAGAGUGUAAUAGCCACGUAAGUGAAAUUCAUAAUAAUCAAGUUCUGAUCCAGAGUACCACGAGACACGUGAAACCUUGUGGGAAGCAGGGAGGACCACCUCCCAAGGCUAAAUACUACCUGAUGACCGAUAGUGAAGCAGUACCGUGAGGGAAAGGUGAAAAGAACCCCGGGAGGGGAGUGAAAUAGAACCUGAAACCGUGUGCCUACAACCGGUCAAAGCCCCUUAUGAGGGUGAUGACGUGCUUUUUGUAGAACGAGCCAACGAGUUACGGUAUGUAGCAAGGUUAAGUACUUAAGGUACGGAGCCGAAGGGAAACCGAGUCUUAAUAGGGCGACUAGUUGCAUGCCGUAGACCCGAAACCGGGUGACCUAUCCAUGGCCAGGUUGAAGCGGGGGUAAAACCCCGUGGAGGACCGAACCACGUUGCUGUUGAAAAAGCAUGGGAUGAGCUGUGGAUAGCGGAGAAAUUCCAAUCGAACGCGUCGGAUAUGAGUAGUGGAGGUAGAGCACUGAAUGGGCUAGGGGGCAUAGCGCUUACCGAACCUUAUCAAACUCCGAAUGCCACAUACUAUUAGUCCGGCAGUCAGACUGCGAAAGAUAAGUUCCGUAGUCAAAAGGGAAACAGCCCAGAUCGUCAGCUAAGGUCCCAAAGUGUAAGUUAAGUGGAAAAGGAUGUGGGAUUUCUAAGACAACUAGGAUGUUGGCUUAGAAGCAGCCACUCAUUAAAAGAGUGCGUAAUAGCUCACUAGUCGAGAGAUCCUGCGCCGAAGAUGUCCGGGGCUCAAACUUACCACCGAAGCUACGGGUUCACACUUAUGUGUGAGCGGUAGAGGAGCGUCGUAAUCGGGCUGAAGUCGUACCGUAAGGAGCGGUGGACUGAUUACGAGUGAGAAUGUUGGCAUUAGUAGCGAGAUGUGGGUGAGAAUCCCACAGGCCGAAUAUCUAAGGUUUCCUCAGGAAGGUUCGUCCGCUGAGGGUUAGUCGGGACCUAAGCCGAGGCCGAAAGGCGUAGGCGAUGGACAAUCGGUUGAUAUUCCGAUACCACUACUGAUCGUUAUUAUCGAUGGUGUGACGGAGAAGGAUAGAGUGUGCUAGCUAUUGGAUGCUAGUCUAAGCGUUUAGGGAGUUAGGAAAGGCAAAUCCGUCCUAACAAUUCUGAGGCGUGAUGGGGAAGGUUCUACGGAACCGAAGUACUUGAUUCCAUGCUUCCAAGAAAAGCAUCUAGAGAGAGAUGUAGUGCCCGUACCGCAAACCGACACAGGUAGAUGAGGAGAGAAUCCUAAGGCCGGCGGAAGAAUCACAGUUAAGGAACUAGGCAAAUUGACCCCGUAACUUAGGGAGAAGGGGUGCCUGUGAGAGCAGGCCGCAGAGAAUAGGCCCAAGCAACUGUUUAGCAAAAACACAGGUCUCUGCUAAAGCGAAAGCUGAUGUAUAGGGGCUGACGCCUGCCCGGUGCUGGAAGGUUAAGGGGAACACUUAGCGCAAGCGAAGGUGUGAACUUAAGCCCCAGUAAACGGCGG